UAAGGAAUAUUGGACAAUGGAGGCAACUCUGAUCCAGCCAUGCCGCGUGAAGGAAUAAGGCCCUAUGGGUUGUAAACUUCUUUUAGACGGGACAAAACCCCUUUACGUGUAAAGGGUUGAUGGUACUGUCAGAAUAAGCAUCGGCUAACUUCGUGCCAGCAGCCGCGGUAAUACGAAGGAUGCAAGCGUUAUCCGGAAUUAUUGGGUUUAAAGGGUGCGUAGGCGGACUAAUAAGUCAGUGGUGAAAGCCUGCAGCUUAACUGCAGAAUUGCCAUUGAUACUGUUAGUCUUGAGUACAGUUGAGGUAGGCGGAAUGUGUCAUGUAGCGGUGAAAUGCUUAGAUAUGGCACAGCACACCGAUUGCGAAGGCAGCUUGCUAAGCUGUAACUGACGCUGAGGCACGAAAGCGUGGGGAGCAAACA
RNAcentral lists this ribosomal RNA (422 nucleotides) under uncultured bacterium. Its description in RNAcentral is "bacterial SSU rRNA". It matches the Rfam family "Bacterial small subunit ribosomal RNA", at positions 355 to 774 of the family's 1533-position model. The record is from RNAcentral.